RNAcentral lists this ribosomal RNA (441 nucleotides) under uncultured bacterium. RNAcentral describes it as "partial 16S ribosomal RNA". It matches the Rfam family "Bacterial small subunit ribosomal RNA", at positions 338 to 795 of the family's 1533-position model. The record is from RNAcentral.
CCUACGGGUGGCAGCAGUGGGGGAUAUUGCACAAUGGGGGAAACCCUGAUGCAGCGACGCCGCGUGUGGGAAGACGGUCCUCUGGAUUGUAAACCACUGUCCCCAGGGACGAAGAUGACGGUACCUGGGGAGGAAGCUCCGGCUAACUACGUGCCAGCAGCCGCGGUAAUACGUAGGGAGCGAGCGUUGUCCGGAAUUACUGGGUGUAAAGGGCGUGUAGCCGGGCUGACAAGUCAGAUGUGAAAUCCGGGGGCUCAACCCCCGAACUGCAUUUGAAACUGUUGGUCUUGAGUAUCGGAGAGGCAGGCGGAAUUCGUGGUGUAGCGGUGAAAUGCGUAGAUAUUAGGAGGAACACCAGUGGCGAAGGCGGCCUGCUGGACGACAACUGACGGUGAGGCGCGAAAGCGUGGGGAGCAAACAGGAUUAGAUACCCCAGUAGUC